GACGAACGCUGGCGGCGUGCCUAAUACAUGCAAGUCGAGCGAGCGGAACUAACAGAUUUACUUCGGUAAUGACGUUAGGAAAGCGAGCGGCGGAUGGGUGAGUAACACGUGGGGAACCUGCCCCAUAGUCUGGGAUACCACUUGGAAACAGGUGCUAAUACCGGAUAAGAAAGCAGAUCGCAUGAUCAGCUUUUAAAAGGCAGCGUAAGCUGUCGCUAUGGGAUGGCCCCGCGGUGCAUUAGCUAGUUGGUAAGGUAAAGGCUUACCAAGGCGAUGAUGCAUAGCCGAGUUGAGAGACUGAUCGGCCACAUUGGGACUGAGACACGGCCCAAACUCCUACGGGAGGCAGCAGUAGGGAAUCUUCCACAAUGGACGCAAGUCUGAUGGAGCAACGCCGCGUGAGUGAAGAAGGUUUUCGGAUCGUAAAGCUCUGUUGUUGGUGAAGAAGGAUAGAGGUAGUAACUGGCCUUUAUUUGACGGUAAUCAACCAGAAAGUCACGGCUAACUACGUGCCAGCAGCCGCGGUAAUACGUAGGUGGCAAGCGUUGUCCGGAUUUAUUGGGCGUAAAGCGAGCGCAGGCGGAAGAAUAAGUCUGAUGUGAAAGCCCUCGGCUUAACCGAGGAACUGCAUCGGAAACUGUUUUUCUUGAGUGCAGAAGAGGAGAGUGGAACUCCAUGUGUAGCGGUGGAAUGCGUAGAUAUAUGGAAGAACACCAGUGGCGAAGGCGGCUCUCUGGUCUGCAACUGACGCUGAGGCUCGAAAGCAUGGGUAGCGAACAGG
RNAcentral lists this ribosomal RNA (781 nucleotides) under uncultured Lactobacillus sp. RNAcentral's name for it is "bacterial SSU rRNA". It matches the Rfam family "Bacterial small subunit ribosomal RNA", at positions 28 to 776 of the family's 1533-position model. The record is from RNAcentral. Lineage: Bacteria; Bacillati; Bacillota; Bacilli; Lactobacillales; Lactobacillaceae.